Molecule: ribosomal RNA, 433 nt
Filed under: uncultured bacterium
Lineage: Bacteria
Description: partial 16S ribosomal RNA
Rfam family: Bacterial small subunit ribosomal RNA
Source: RNAcentral
AACGAACGCUGGCGGCAUGCCUAACGCAUGCCAGUCGAACGAGACCUUCGGGUCUAGUGGCGCACGGGUGCGUAACGCGUGGGAACCUGCCUUUAGGUUCGGAAUAACUCAGAGAAAUUUGAGCUAAUACCGGAUGAUGUCUUCGGACCAAAGAUUUAUCGCCUUUAGAUGGGCCCGCGUUGGAUUAGCUAGUUGGUGGGGUAAAGGCCUACCAAGGCGACGAUCCAUAGCUGGUCUGAGAGGAUGAUCAGCCACACUGGGACUGAGACACGGCCCAGACUCCUACGGGAGGCAGCAGUGGGGAAUAUUGGACAAUGGGCGAAAGCCUGAUCCAGCAAUGCCGCGUGAGUGAUGAAGGCCUUAGGGUUGUAAAGCUCUUUUACCCGAGAUGAUAAUGACAGUAUCGGGAGAAUAAGCUCCGGCUAACUCCGUG